RNAcentral lists this ribosomal RNA (253 nucleotides) under uncultured bacterium. RNAcentral describes it as "partial 16S ribosomal RNA". It matches the Rfam family "Bacterial small subunit ribosomal RNA", at positions 524 to 776 of the family's 1533-position model. The record is from RNAcentral.
UACAGAGGUCCCGAGCGUUGUUCGGAUUCACUGGGCGUAAAGGGUGCGUAGGUGGUAGGGUAAGUCGGAUGUGAAAGCUCGGAGCUCAACUCCGAAAUGGCAUUGGAAACUACUCUGCUAGAGGAUUGGAGGGGGGACUGGAAUGCUUGGUGUAGCAGUGAAAUGCGUAGAUAUCAAGCGGAACACCAGUGGCGAAGGCGAGUCCCUGGACAAUUCCUGACACUGAGGCACGAAAGCUAGGGGAGCAAACAGG